CUCUCUCUCUCUCACACUUGCUCCGACUCUCGUCUCCCUUAGACAAUUUCUACAUGGUUCUCUCUCAGCCACUCCUGCUCUCUGUCAGCCGCUCUCUCUCAGUCUCUCUCGCUCUCUCUCAGUCAUUCUCAGUCUCCCUCUCUCGAGUUUUGUAGGUUUGAGAAUUGAUUUUGGGAUCAUAGGAAACGAUUGGCUUGCUCUAGGGUAUUAUUAAUUUCAUGGAAGGAGAAUCUGAAA
This is a non-coding RNA of Prunus avium (sweet cherry), 237 nucleotides long. Lineage: Eukaryota; Viridiplantae; Streptophyta; Magnoliopsida; Rosales; Rosaceae. The record is from RefSeq and is a predicted model, not a curated record.